GACGAACGCUGGCGGCGUGCUUAACACAUGCAAGUCGAACGGAAAGGCCCCUUUGGGGGUACUCGAGUGGCGAACGGGCGAGUAACACGUGAGUAACCUGCCCUUCACUACGUGAUAACUUCAGCUAACUGGGGCUAAUACCGGAUAGGAAUCCUUGCAGCAUGGUGGGGGUUGGCAAGCUUCGGCGGUUUUGGAUGGACUGGCGGCUUAUUAGCUAGUUGGUGGGGUAGUGCCUUACCAAGGCGUUGACGGGUAACCGGCCUGAGAGGGCGACCGGCCACCUAGGGACUGAGAGACGGCCCAGACUCCUACGGGAGGCAGCAGUGGGGAGUAUAGCACAAUGGGCGGGCGCCUGAUGCAGCAACGCCGCGUGCGGGAUGACGGCCUUCGGGUUGUAAGCCGCUUUCAGCAGGGGCGAAACUUGUAGUGACGGUACCUGCAGAAGAAGCACCGGCUAACUCCGUG
This 465-nucleotide ribosomal RNA is filed under the name uncultured bacterium. RNAcentral describes it as "partial 16S ribosomal RNA". It matches the Rfam family "Bacterial small subunit ribosomal RNA", at positions 28 to 507 of the family's 1533-position model. The record is from RNAcentral.